AUUGUAUCUUGAUCUAUUUGAUGCUCUAUUAGUCUUGCCUCUAAGACAAAAUUUAGCCCAAGAACCUCUCAAAAACAACUUACGCCCAAUGGGCAAAUAUUAACACUACCACAUUGUGUCUUGAUUUAUGAAAUGUUCUAUAACUCUUGAUUUAGAAGUAAGACUUAACUCAAGGAUUUUCAAACAACAAGUUAUGACCCCCAAGCAAGACUUGACACUACCACAUUGUAUCUUGAUUUAUGAGUUGUUCUAUAAUUUUUUUCUUAGAGGUAAAACUU
RNAcentral lists this long non-coding RNA (278 nucleotides) under Capsicum annuum. RNAcentral describes it as "long non-coding RNA (CANN_LNC018859)". Lineage: Eukaryota; Viridiplantae; Streptophyta; Magnoliopsida; Solanales; Solanaceae. The record is from RNAcentral.